RNAcentral lists this ribosomal RNA (331 nucleotides) under uncultured Lachnospiraceae bacterium. RNAcentral describes it as "partial 16S ribosomal RNA". The record is from RNAcentral. Lineage: Bacteria; Bacillati; Bacillota; Clostridia; Lachnospirales; Lachnospiraceae.
GGAGUUUGGGCCGUGUCUCAGUCCCAAUGUGGCCGUACACCCUCUCAGGCCGGCUACUGAUCGUCGCCUUGGUGGGCCGUUACCUCACCAACUAGCUAAUCAGACGCGGGACCAUCCUAUACCACCGGAGUUUUUCACACUGCUUCAUGCGAAGCUGUGCGCUUAUGCGGUAUUAUCAGUCGUUUCCAACUGCUAUCCCCCAGUAUGAGGCAGGUUCUCCACGCGUUACUCACCCGUCCGCCACUAAGAUAAAACAAGUUUUGACCGAAGUCUCGACAGCGUUUCAUCUCCGUUCGACUUGCAUGUGUUAGGCACGCCGCCAGCGUUCAUC